This is a non-coding RNA of Mycena vulgaris, 96 nucleotides long. NCBI's taxonomy places the organism in Eukaryota, Fungi, Basidiomycota, Agaricomycetes, Agaricales, Mycenaceae. The record is from the annotation of a GenBank genome assembly.
UCAUACAUGGUGUAAGGGAAACACAGCCUCAUACUUUUAGGCGGUGAAUCCGAAAAAAUUAAGUGGCAGUCCGGGGUUCGAAUCCCUGUGUCUGAA